Molecule: ribosomal RNA, 253 nt
Filed under: uncultured bacterium
Lineage: Bacteria
Description: partial 16S ribosomal RNA
Rfam family: Bacterial small subunit ribosomal RNA
Source: RNAcentral
UACAGAGGGUGCAAGCGUUAAUCGGAAUUACUGGGCGUAAAGCGUGCGUAGACGGUUAUGUAAGUCGGAUGUGAAAGCCCAGGGCUCAACCUUGGAAUUGCAUUCGAGACUGCAUAGCUAGGAUGCGGAAGAGGGAAGCGGAAUUUCCGGUGUAGCGGUGAAAUGCGUAGAUAUCGGAAGGAACACCAGUGGCGAAAGCGGCUUCCUGGUCCAGCAUCGACGUUCAGGCACGAAAGCGUGGGGAGCAAACAGG